RNAcentral lists this ribosomal RNA (520 nucleotides) under uncultured Entrophospora. RNAcentral describes it as "SSU rRNA". It matches the Rfam family "Eukaryotic small subunit ribosomal RNA", at positions 569 to 1085 of the family's 1831-position model. The record is from RNAcentral. Lineage: Eukaryota; Fungi; Glomeromycota; Glomeromycetes; Entrophosporales; Entrophosporaceae.
AGCAGCCGCGGUAAUUCCAGCUCCAAUAGCGUAUAUUAAAGUUGUUGCAGUUAAAAAGCUCGUAGUUGAAUUUCGGGAUUGACACAUCGGUCGUGCCUUAAGGGGUAUGAACUGGUGUAGUCAAUUUCUCACCUUCUGGAGAACCGCGAUGCCCUUAAUUGGGUGUCGCGGGGAACCAGGACCUUUACUUUGAAAAAAUUAGAGUGUUUAAAGCAGGCAUUUUGCUUGAAUACAUUAGCAUGGAAUAAUAAAAUAGGACGGCAUGAUUCUAUUUUGUUGGUUUCUAGGAUCACCGUAAUGAUUAAUAGGGAUAGUUGGGGGCAUUAGUAUUCAAUUGUCAGAGGUGAAAUUCUUGGAUUUAUUGAAGCCUAACUACUGCGAAAGCAUUUGCCAAGGAUGUUUUCAUUAAUCAAGAACGAAAGUUAGGGGAUCGAAGACGAUCAGAUACCGUCGUAGUCUUAACCAUAAACUAUGCCGACUAGGAAUCAGACGAUGUUAAUUUUUAAUGACUCGUUUGGCA